CGGGGGUAAAGCACUGUUUCGGCUAGGGGGUCAUCCCGACUUACCAAACCGAUGCAAACUCUGAAUACCGGCAAGUUCGAGUAUGGGAGACAGACGGCGGGUGCUAACGUCCGUCGUCGAAAGGGAAACAACCCAGACCGCCAGCUAAGGUCCCUAAUAUCAGUUAAGUGGGAAACGAUGUGGGAAGGCACAAACAGCUAGGAGGUUGGCUUAGAAGCAGCCAUCCUUUAAAGAAUGCGUAAUAGCUCACUGGUCGAGUGGCGCUGCGCGGAAAAUGUAACGGGGCUAAAGCUCAGCACCGAAGCUGCGAGAUUCCGCCCGUAUGGGCGGGAUCGGUAGGGGAGCGUCGUGUCGACAGAGAAGCGUCGCCGUGAGGAGACGUGGAGACGGCACGAGUGAGAAUGCCGGUAUGAGUAGCGAAUGGAGAGUGAGAAUCUCUUCCGCCGAAUGUCCAAGGGUUCCUGGGGAAGGUUCGUCCGCCCAGGGUUAGUCGGGACCUAAGGCGAGGCCGCAAGGCGUAGUCGAUGGACAACGGGUUGAUAUUCCCGUACCGCUCUGUGCGCGCCCGACCAAGACCGGUCUUGCUAAGACUGCAUCUUCGGAUACGGUCGACCCAGACCGGAGGAGGUCAGCAAUGGGGUGACGUGGAAGGGUAAGCGGACCCGGGCGAUGGUUGUUCCCGGGGUAAACGUGUAGGGUGUGGCCCAGGUAAAUCCGGGCCACCAAAAAGCCCGAGGCGUGAUGCCGAUCCGCCUUUAGGAGAAGCCGCUGAACGCCCAUGCCACCGAGAAAAACCUCUAGCGAGUGCACAGUGCGCCCGUACCCCAAACCGACACAGGUGGACAGGUAGAGAAUACCAAGGCGAGCGAGUUAACCCUGGUUAAGGAAUUCGGCAAAUUGGCUCCGUAACUUCGGGAGAAGGAGCGCCCCGGUAAAGUGUAGGAGUUCGCCUCCGAAGCUUGAGGGGGCCGCAGUGACCAGGCCCAAACGACUGCUUACUAAAAGCACAGCAGCGUGCUAAGUCGUAAGACGACGUAUACGCUGUGACGCCUGCCCGGUGCCGGAAGGUUAAGAGGAGGUGUUAGCCCUCGGGCGAAGCUCUGAAUUGAAGCCCCGGUAAACGGCGGCCGUAACUAUAACGGUCCUAAGGUUGAAUCGCAGCCUUAGUAAAACUGAACCAUAUGCGGGAAACUCCUCGUACAGCAGUCCGGUACUCGUCCGUCCUGAAUGGGCGGGCAGUAAAAAUCCGGCUGACAUGGGGACAAUCCGCAGGGAAGGUCCAAUCUGUAAUGGAAACCCUCAGAGACUUGACGUUCAGGAUUGAUCGAUGAAGCUUGACAGUCAGUGGAUCACAGGAUUCGUGGACGGUGAAGGAUGCUUCCAUGUCGGGAUAAACCCCCAUCCCGACAUGAAGACCGGUUAUCAGGUUCUACCUGAGUUCACCGUUGUACAGCACGAACGCGAUGUGCAGGUGUUGCACGCCAUGAAAAGCCACUUCGGAUGCGGCGUGGUUCGCAGUAACCACGGCGACCGCAUGGCCUAUCGGGUGCGUAGCAUCGAGCAUUUGCUACGGCACAUCGUUCCGUUUUUUGUCAAGCACCCGCUGAAAACGAAGAAGCGGAUUGCGUUCGAGAAGUUUCGGCGCAUUCUGCUGAUAAUGGAAGCGGGGGAGCAUCUGACCGACGAAGGCGUUGAUCGGAUACGCCAGAUCGCAAGCCAGAUGAAUCGAGGUCAAUCAAGGUAAAGUCCGGCCCGCUUGGAAACAGGUGGGAUCAUCCGAGCGAAAUUCCUUGUCGGGUAAGUUCCGACCUGCACGAAUGGCGCAACGAUUUGGGCACUGUCUCAACCAGGGACUCGGCGAAAUUGCAAUGUGAGUAAAGAUGCUCACUACCUGCGGCAGGACGGUAAGACCCCGGAACCUUUACUGUAGCUUGGCAUUGAAGUCUGGCGUGUAAUGUGCAGGAUAGGUGGGAGACGAGGAAGCAGAGGCGCCAGCCUCUGUGGAGUCAACCUUGGAAUACCACCCUUUGUACGACGGGCUUCUAACCCGGGUCCGUAAUCCGGAUCGGGAACAGUGUCUGGCGGUCAGUUUCACUGGGGCGGUGGCCUCCUAAAGAGUAACGGAGGCGCCCAAAGGUUCCCUCAGUCUGGUCGGCAAUCAGACGACGAGUGUAAAGGCACAAGGGAGCUUGACUGUGAGACCUACAAGUCAAACAGGGACGAAAGUCGGGCUUAGUGAUCCCAUGGUGGCACGUGGGUGCGCCAUGGCUCAUCGGCUAAAAGGUACUCCGGGGAUAACAGGCUAAUCACGCCCAAGAGUCCAUAUCGACGGCGUGGUUUGGCACCUCGAUGUCGGCUCGUCGCAUCCUGGGGCUGGAGCAGGUCCCAAGGGUCGGGCUGUUCGCCCGUUAAAGCGGCACGCGAGCUGGGUUUAGAACGUCGUGAGACAGUUCGGUGCGCAGGAGACUUGAGGGGAGCUGUCCCUAGUACGAGAGGACCGGGAUGGACGUACCUCUGGUGUGCCAGUUGUUCUGCCAAGAGCACGGCUGGUUAGCUACGUACGGAAGGGAUAAGCGCUGAAGGCAUCUAAGUGCGAAGCCCACCCCAAGAUGAGGUCUCCCACGGGUUUUAACCCGGUAAGGCCCCUGGCAGAACACCAGGUUGAUAGGCCGGAGGUGUAAGCGCAGCAAUGCGUUCAGCUGACCGGUACUAAUAGGCCGAGGGCUUGGACAG
RNAcentral lists this ribosomal RNA (2733 nucleotides) under Actinomycetes bacterium. RNAcentral describes it as "partial 23S ribosomal RNA". It matches the Rfam family "Bacterial large subunit ribosomal RNA", at positions 897 to 2925 of the family's 2925-position model. The record is from RNAcentral. Lineage: Bacteria; Bacillati; Actinomycetota; Actinomycetes.